UGGAACCACACAUCUCUUUCUUCCUCUUACCUUCUUCUCCCUCUAUCCUCUGCUCACUCUGGCCGAUAGCAGCAGCCAUACGCUGCCACCAUCUCCGCCCUCUGCCCCUGAUUCGACUACUCAGCCAACAACACACACACUACACCAAGGAAUCCCCCCUUUUCCUGACUCGGUACAGCAGCAGCGCCCCUACCAAUUGUAUUAGUAAAAAAAAUGCAAAUAAAAAAGAAGUUGUUAGUGCAAGAAGAAUCCAUGUAGAUGCUAUCUUUAACAUCAAAUCUACUACCCAAUAAAUUUCACCAAUCAUUUGCACACAUAUCAAAAUUCAAUUGUAGACUUUCAACGGAUUCACAAGCUGUAGUAUGAAAAUG
Molecule: long non-coding RNA, 371 nt
Filed under: Salvia miltiorrhiza (redroot sage)
Lineage: Eukaryota; Viridiplantae; Streptophyta; Magnoliopsida; Lamiales; Lamiaceae
Description: long non-coding RNA (SMIL_LNC006312)
Source: RNAcentral